UACGUAGGGUGCGAGCGUUGUCCGGAAUUAUUGGGCGUAAAGGGCUCGUAGGCGGUUUGUCGCGUCGGGAGUGAAAACCAGGUGCUUAACACCUGGCUUGCUUUCGAUACGGGCAGACUAGAGGUAUUCAGGGGAGAACGGAAUUCCUGGUGUAACGGUGAAAUGCGCAGAUAUCAGGAGGAACACCGGUGGCGAAGGCGGUUCUCUGGGAAUGACCUGACGCUGAGGAGCGAAAGUGUGGGGAGCGAACAGG
RNAcentral lists this ribosomal RNA (253 nucleotides) under uncultured bacterium. RNAcentral's name for it is "partial 16S ribosomal RNA". It matches the Rfam family "Bacterial small subunit ribosomal RNA", at positions 524 to 776 of the family's 1533-position model. The record is from RNAcentral.